UACGUAGGGGGCAAGCGUUGUCCGGAAUCAUUGGGCGUAAAGCGCGUGUAGGCGGCUUGGUAAGUCCGCUCUGAAAGCCCGGGGCUCAACCCCGGGAGGCGGGUGGAUACUGUCAAGCUCGAGUCCGGAAGAGGCGAGUGGAAUUCCUGGUGUAGCGGUGAAAUGCGCAGAUAUCAGGAGGAACACCAAUGGCGAAGGCAGCUCGCUGGGACGUGACUGACGCUGAGACGCGAAAGCGUGGGGAGCAAACGGG
This 253-nucleotide ribosomal RNA is filed under the name uncultured bacterium. RNAcentral's name for it is "partial 16S ribosomal RNA". It matches the Rfam family "Bacterial small subunit ribosomal RNA", at positions 524 to 776 of the family's 1533-position model. The record is from RNAcentral.